This 484-nucleotide ribosomal RNA is filed under the name uncultured bacterium. RNAcentral's name for it is "partial 16S ribosomal RNA". It matches the Rfam family "Bacterial small subunit ribosomal RNA", at positions 29 to 507 of the family's 1533-position model. The record is from RNAcentral.
AUUGAACGCUGGCGGCAUGCCUAACACAUGCAAGUCGAACGGCAGCGCGGGGGCAACCCUGGCGGCGAGUGGCGGACGGGUGAGGAAUGCAUAGGAAUCUGCCCGGUUGUGGGGGAUAACGUAGGGAAACUUACGCUAAUACCGCAUACGACCUUCGGGUGAAAGUGGGGGACCUUCGGGCCUCACGCGAUCGGAUGAGCCUAUGCCCGAUUAGCUAGUUGGCGGGGUAAGAGCCCACCAAGGCGACGAUCGGUAGCUGGUCUGAGAGGAUGAUCAGCCACACUGGGACGGAGACACGGCCCAGACUCCUACGGGAGGCAGCAGUGGGGAAUAUUGGACAAUGGGCGCAAGCCUGAUCCAGCAAUGCCGCGUGUGUGAAGAAGGCCUUCGGGUUGUAAAGCACUUUUGUUCGGGAAGAAAUCCGUGUGGUUAAUACCCGUACGGGAUGACGGUACCGAAAGAAUAAGCACCGGCUAACUUCGUG